This is a non-coding RNA of Salmo salar (Atlantic salmon), 2331 nucleotides long. NCBI's taxonomy places the organism in Eukaryota, Metazoa, Chordata, Actinopteri, Salmoniformes, Salmonidae. The record is from RefSeq and is a predicted model, not a curated record.
CUUCUUGUCUGUCGAAAACCAAGGAUAUGAUGAAGACUGAUCAAGGAAAAGGACAUUUUCCCUUUGUUUUUUGUAUCAUGUGUCUGUUUGUCACGUACACUCUCUCGCCGGCCUCUAGGUCAUCAGGCUGCUGAUUAUCCCGCACACCUGUCACCACCUGUAUCCAGCCUUGCAGGCCUUGUUGGACAGGUUAUGUGGUGGAGAAAUGUGGCUGCAACAAAAAAUAGAUUCUGAAGAUAGUUAAGUCAAAGCUGAAUGAAGACCUCAGUGGGAUUAACAAAAAUGUGUAAAUAGGUGGGCAGUGGUGGUGACACAGCAUGGUGAUGAUGCUGGUCAUGGUGCUACUGAUGGUGGCUGCUCACUCUCUGGGAAUGUGAUCUUCUACCCUACCAUUUACUUCACAUACCCAGAUGCUCAACUGGAACACACAGCAAUUGGCCUGUUCAAAGCAUAAUGCUGUGGUGGUGAGCUUCAUGUUCUGCUGGCCCUUCAUCACCCUGGUUGUUUUAUGGGGGGAAGGCCCUCACCCUGGGCUGGCAGAGCUGGACCCAUGGACAGAUCUUUGAGUUCUUAGACCAGCAGAAGGAUAUUUUCAGCAGCCUCAACAACAUCAUUCAAAACUUCAACAGCAGUUGAAGAGACCAGCUUUAAUACCCACUAAAUUCAGCCCAGCACCUCAGCAUCUGUACUUUUCUGUGUUACUGCCCCAACAUUCCACAAUGAUGCUCAGUCACAAUCACAAGGUGUCUCAGCCCUUUAAACUGGAUUACAGGUUUUGUACACUCUGUUUCUGGGUUUACUCAUGCAUACCUCCCUGUCUGUGCUCUUUGUUUCAGUGGCUGUACGAGAUGACAGUCAUUGUUCCCUAGCAUGCGCCAUGGAGCAGCAAUUUGAUCUGGACGACUUCCUCAAUGCUAGCAAAGUGUUGCUCAAUUUGACAUUGUGUCAUAUUUCAUUUUGUUUUCUGUUAAAAAAAAAAAAUCACCCAGUGUAUCUAAGGCACUGUUACUAUUGUAGCCUACCUUUUGAUUACAGUAUAUUGGCACUGAAGGAACUAUACUGCCUGUGACCGUUAUUUAUGUGCCUGUCUGCUUCUCUCAUUUAUUGUAGUUCUUGGAUGGAUUCAAUCAGAGUGCUCAGAAUUGGUCAGUUAACCUAAAUUACUUGAAAUAAUACCUGACAAUGGCAGACGGGGCCCGCUGAACUUCAACUACGAUGGGCAAUUACUGCUGGUAUAUAAUGUAUAGGAGCAGCAAAUCUGUGUGUGUGUUAUUUUGUAUUUGUUUACCUUAAUUUAACCAGGAAAAUACCGUUUGUGGUUAGAAACCUCUUUUGCGAGAGGGAGCUGGCCAAGAGGUCUGCAGGAAGUAGUCAGCGUGUACAGUAUAUACAAAGAGCAAAAUACAAUACAAAAACAAUCACAGUGGUCAAAAACAUUUCUCUAUCAGAGCUUUAAACUCAACAAUUGAUACCCUCUCCUCCAGUUUUAAAGUCUUUUGCAGCUCGUUCCCAGACCAAGGAGCGUUAUAGGAAAAUUAUAUUUAUCCUAUUUCAGUUCUGGCCUUAGGAACCGUGAAAGCUUGUAGCAGCUUGAAAGGGUGACUAUACAGUUGAAGUCGGAAGUUUACAUACACUUAGGUUGGAGUCAUUAAAACUUGUUUUUCAACCACUCCACAAAUUUCUUGUUAACAAACUAUAGUUUUGGCAAGUCGGUUAGGACAUCUACUUUGUGCAUGACACAAAUAGUUUUUCCAACAAUUGUUAACAGAUUAUUUCACUUAUAAUUCACUGUCUCACAAUUCCAGUGGGUCAGGAGUUUACAUACACUAAGUUGAUUGUGCCUUUAAACAGCUUGGAACCAAAGCACAAUGAACAAUAUACUGUGAGUCUCUAUUGAAGAACCAUAGCACAACGGACAAUAUACAGUAAGUGUUUAUAUUGAAGAACCAUAUCACAAUAAACAAUAUACAGUAAGUCUCCAUUGAAGAACCAUAGCACAAUGAACAAUAUACAGUAAGUGUCUAUUGAAGAACCAUAACACAAUGAACAAUAUACUGUAUGUUUUUUUAUUGAUGAACCAUAGCACAAUGAACAAUAUACUGUGUUUUUAUUGAAGAACUAUAGCACAAUGAACAAUAUACAGUAAGUCUCUAUUGAAGACCCAUAGCACAAUGAACAAUAAAUAUACUGUACGUUUUUUAUUGAAGAACCGUAGGACAAUGAACAAUAUUCUGUACUUUUCUAUUAUUUUAUUUAACCUUUAUUUUAUCAGGGAGCCAUAAGUUGCAAUGCAUGAAGUUAUUUAUCUAUUUGUUGUUUUGUUGUCACUUA